GACGAACGCUGGCGGCGUGCUUAACACAUGCAAGUCGAACGGUGACGCGCCUUCCUUUUUCGUGGGUGUGCAUGAGUGGCGACCGGGUGCCUAACACGUCCGUAACCUGCCUCCUUCUUCUGGCUAAUCGCAUGAAAUUGUGGCUAUUCAGGGAUUUUCCGGGUCUGUCUCAUCCUGCGUCUGGGUAUGUUAUUGUUUCGGUGAGGGCUCGGCUCGCGGCCUAUCAGCUUGUUGUCGGGGUGAAUGCCUACCCAGGCGGUGACGAGGAGCCGGCCUGAGCGGGUGCACGGGCACACGGGGACGGAGACACGGCCCAGACGGGAACGAGAGGCAGCAGUGGGGAAUAUUGCACGAUGGGGGGAAGACUGAUGCAGCGACGGCGCGAGAGGGAUGGAGGCCUGCGGGUUGUGAACCUCUGUCGCCAGUGAAGCAGGGCUGCCUCGUUUGUGAGUGUGAUGACGGUAGCGGGAGAAGAAGCGCCGGCUAACUACGUG
This 494-nucleotide ribosomal RNA is filed under the name uncultured bacterium. Its description in RNAcentral is "partial 16S ribosomal RNA". It matches the Rfam family "Bacterial small subunit ribosomal RNA", at positions 28 to 507 of the family's 1533-position model. The record is from RNAcentral.